GACGAACGCUGGCGGCGUGCUUAACACAUGCAAGUCGAGCGGUAAGGCCUCUUCGGGGGUACACGAGCGGCGAACGGGUGGGUAACACGUGGGUGACCUGCCCUCAGCUCUGGGAUAAGCCUGUGAAACUGGGUCUAAUACCGGACAUGACCACAUGUUGCAUGGUGGGUGGUGGAAAGUUUUUUCGGCUGGGGAUGGGCCCGCGGCCUAUCAGCUUGUUGGUGGGGUGGUGGCUUACCAAGGCGGCGACGGGUAGCCGGCCUGAGAGGGCGACCGGCCACACUGGGACUGAGACACGGCCCAGACUCCUACGGGAGGCAGCAGUGGGGAAUAUUGCGCAAUGGGCGGAAGCCUGACGCAGCGACGCCGCGUGGGGGAUGACGGCCUUCGGGUUGUAAACCUCUUUCGCCCGGGACGAAGCGUAAGUGACGGUACCGGUAGAAGAAGCACCGGCUAACUACGUG
RNAcentral lists this ribosomal RNA (464 nucleotides) under uncultured bacterium. Its description in RNAcentral is "partial 16S ribosomal RNA". It matches the Rfam family "Bacterial small subunit ribosomal RNA", at positions 28 to 507 of the family's 1533-position model. The record is from RNAcentral.